Sinocyclocheilus grahami is the source of this 221-nucleotide long non-coding RNA. RefSeq lists it as uncharacterized. The record is from RefSeq and is a predicted model, not a curated record. The transcript is spliced from 3 exons. Lineage: Eukaryota; Metazoa; Chordata; Actinopteri; Cypriniformes; Cyprinidae.
UCGGAUGUUGAUGCAAUGGAGCAGCAAUUGGCAGACCCUACCUUCCAGAAACAAGUGGUGGGUCGUGGAAUGGAAAAGUUUGGGAACCCCUGACGUAGUGGAGAGCAAGAUAGAGCAAGGACAGGGGAGUGAGGAGCUGCACUUUCGGUAUUUUAUUUAUUUAUUUUGUGUGAAAUAAUGUAUUUUAGAGUGUUCAGAUAUGCAUAUACAAACAAUACAAG